UUAUCGGAGAGUUUGAUCCUGGCUCAGGACGAACGCUGGCGGCGUGCCUAAUACAUGCAAGUCGAGCGGACAGAUGGGAGCUUGCUCCCUGA
This 92-nucleotide ribosomal RNA is filed under the name Bacillus amyloliquefaciens. RNAcentral's name for it is "partial 16S ribosomal RNA". It matches the Rfam family "Bacterial small subunit ribosomal RNA", at positions 1 to 90 of the family's 1533-position model. The record is from RNAcentral. RNAcentral also lists the same sequence under 9 other names. Lineage: Bacteria; Bacillati; Bacillota; Bacilli; Caryophanales; Bacillaceae.